CUACGGGCGGCUCCAGUCGAGAAUCUUCCGCAAUGGGCGAAAGCCUGACGGAGCAAUGCCGCGUGUAGGAUGAAGGCCUUUGGGUUGUAAACUACUGUCACAGGGGAUGAAUACUUGACAGUACCCUGAGAGGAAGCCACGGCUAACUACGUGCCAGCAGCCGCGGUAAUACGUAGGUGGCGAGCGUUGUUCGGAUUUAUUGGGCGUAAAGGGUUCGUAGGGGGUCAUCUAAGUUUGGUGUGAAAUCCCGGGGCUUAACCCCGGAACUGCAUUGAAAACUGGAAGACUAGAGCAUUGGAGAGGAGAGCGGAAUUCCUGGAGUAGCGGUGGAAUGCGUAGAUAUCAGGAAGAACAUCGGCAGCGAAGGCAGCUCUCUGGACAAUUGCUGACCCUGAGGGACGAAAGCGUGGGUAGCGAACAGGAUUAGAUACCCUCGUAGUC
RNAcentral lists this ribosomal RNA (441 nucleotides) under uncultured bacterium. RNAcentral's name for it is "partial 16S ribosomal RNA". It matches the Rfam family "Bacterial small subunit ribosomal RNA", at positions 339 to 795 of the family's 1533-position model. The record is from RNAcentral.